RNAcentral lists this small nuclear RNA (112 nucleotides) under Rhodnius prolixus. Lineage: Eukaryota; Metazoa; Arthropoda; Insecta; Hemiptera; Reduviidae. The record is from RNAcentral.
AUUCUGCCUAACAUCUGCGGAACAUCUACUAAAAUUUGAACGAUAUAGAGAAGUAUUAGAGCAUGGCCUCUGCGCAAGGAUGACACCGGAACGAGUGUUGGUGCACUCUGAU